AUGGUGCAGGUGAUCUUUAAGGCCCUGGAGGGAAUGGACAACCAGACCAUUCUAGCUGUCCCAUCAUUACUGGAUGGCCAAGGAGCAGUCCCUGAUCCCAGAGGCCAGAGUGUCAAUGCGUCCCCUGCUAUCCAGCCAUUGGAUGAUGAGGAUGUCUUUCUCUGUGGGAAGUGUAAGAAGCAAUUCAACUCGCUGCCAGUGUUUAUGACCCACAAGCGGGAACAGUGCCAAAGAAAUGCCCCCGACCUGGACACAGUCUCGCUGGUCACCAACAGCAUCUACACAAUCUACACACCUUCGGCAGCACCCACAGCGGUCCAGCAGGCCUCGCCUCCUGCCAAUUGCCAGAUCUCUACAUACAUCACAGUGCCCCUGUCCCCACUGAUCCAGGGGAACAUCUUGGUAAGCAAUGACUUGCUCAUGUCUGCCAUUUCAGGCUUCACAUCCCUGGACCAGCCCAUGCCCUAGGGCCCGCGACCUGUGCAGAGCAGCCUGAACAUGCAUUCUGUGCCCAGCCACCUCACCUAGCCUUCACCCCCUCCUCCACCACUGCCCUCACCACCUCCACCCCACAGCCUGGGCCCCCCUGGGCAUCCCAAUCCUGGUGGGAAUGGUGUGGUGAAGGUGUACAGUGCUGCUGCACUCCUGGCUGGGAGUGGAAUGGUGGAGAUCCAGGCACUGGUGAUGCAGCCCUACCCACCCCUGGAGGUGCCAAACCAGUGUGUGGAGGCUCCAGUAUACCCCACCCCCACAGUGUACAGCCCUGGCAAACACCCAAAGGACCAAACCCUGCUGCCCCAUGACCAGUGCCACCGGGGGCACCGUGGCCAUCUUUGACUCUCCACCAAUGCUGAAGACCCCACGGGCUAAAGGUACCAGGGGACUCCUGGAAGCUACAGGGAAGCCAAAGGCUCAGAAACUCAAGUGCCCAUACUGUGACAAGUCAUUCACCAAAAACUUCGACCUGCAGCAGCACAUCUGAAGCCACACAGGUGAGAAGCCCUUCCAAUGCAUUGCAUGUGGCCAUGCCUUUGCCCAGAAGUCUAAUGUUAAGAAACACAUGCAGACCCACAAGGUAUGGCCUUCAGGACACGGUGGUGGCACUGUGUCUCGAAACUCUGUGACUGUACAGGUCUUGGCCCUGAACCCCAGUAGGCAGGAGGAUGAGGAAAACACAGGGUUGGGCCAGCCCCUACCAAGCUCGCCACAGCUCCAGGCCUGGCCCACAGCCAGCGAUAGCAAGGGGCAAGCCGGAAACCCAAGCAGGUAGUCCUCAUCUACAGCUCCUACUUGUUCCAGUUCUGCCCCAGCAAGUUCAGCACCUAUUUCCAGCUCAAGUCUCACAUGACCCAGCAUAAGAACGAGCAGGUGUACAAAUGUGUGGUCAAAAGCUGUGCCCAAACGUUCCCAAAGCUCGACACAUUUCUGGAGCACAUCAAGAGCCACCAGGAGGAGCUGAGCUACCCCGGCCACUUCUGCAACAAGGACUUACCCCCGAUGUACGACCUGAGCGUGCACCAGUACUCCCACAGCCUCCUUCCACAGCACAGCCCCAAGAAGGGCAGUGCCGUCUACAAGUGUGUCAAACGUGUCAACAAAUAUCCACCCCAGAGGCCCUGGAGCAUCACCUGCAGACCGCCACUCACAACUUCCCCUGCCCACACUGCUAGAAGGUGUUUCCUUGUGAACGCUACCUGCAGCGUCAUCUGCCAACCCACCGCAGUGGGGGCAGGUUCAAGGGCCAGGUGUGCAAGAAGUCCUCCCGGCGGGUGCAUUACCUCAAACUGCGCGCUCACAACCACUCAGGCGAGAAGCCCUACAAAUGCUCGGUGUGCGAGUCCGCAUUCAACCUCAAGGACAAACUGUAAGAGAGACAUGUUGAUCCACCAGCCCUUCAAGAAAUAUAAAUGCCCUUUAUCGACGCACACAAGCUGCGGUAAGUUGUUCAACCGGCCGGACAAGCUGAAGGCCCAUGUCCUCUCCCACUCCGGCAUGAAGCUCCACAAAUGCGCCCUGUGCAGCAGGUCCUUCAGCCGCCGUGCCCACCUCGCCGAGCACCUGCGCGCCCACACGGGCUACUACAAGUUCCGCUAUGCUGGCUGUGCCAAGGGCUUUUUCCGCCACAAAUACCUCAAAGAUCACCGCUGUCGUCUCGGCCCCCAGAAGGAAAAGGACCUGCAAACCCGGCGGCACCCCCCCCCCCCACCACCGCCCGCGAGAAGAGGGCAGCCCCGCGCCGUGGCGGCAGUGGUGGGCGCAAGGUGGUGACCCCCUUGCCUGACCCGCUGGGGCUGGAGGAGAUGAAGGACACAGGGGCUGGUCUGGUGCCCGAGGCCGUCCCGGGCAAGCCGCCCUUCGCAGAGCUGAACGCGGAGCUUUCCAUCGUCGUGGGUGGUGCGGUGGGCACAGAAUCUGAGCUGGUGGUACCUGGACAGCUGAGGGGCUGGGCUCCAACCUGGCUCUGGCGGGGCUGCAGGCCGGGGCCGAGGGCCCAUGUGCCAUGCUCGCUGUGCUCAUCUACAUCGAGGCCUCAGAGUGA
RNAcentral lists this long non-coding RNA (2539 nucleotides) under Homo sapiens (human). Its description in RNAcentral is "non-protein coding lnc-ANTXR2-5:1". Lineage: Eukaryota; Metazoa; Chordata; Mammalia; Primates; Hominidae. The record is from RNAcentral.